Molecule: long non-coding RNA, 279 nt
Organism: Mytilus californianus (California mussel)
Lineage: Eukaryota; Metazoa; Mollusca; Bivalvia; Mytilida; Mytilidae
Exons: 3
Source: RefSeq, a predicted model, not a curated record
AAACGUGCAUAUUCUAAUAAUUGAAAUUUAUGAAUCGUGUAUUAGGACAUUAACCUUGAAAGAACCUACAGCCGCCAAACAGGAUACUUCAGUAAAUGUUUGUUGCCGAUGUAAAAUUUCAUUGCGUCAUAGUCGUUUAUAAAAGCAGGAUAAUAGCACAGUAUUUUAAAGCCUUUCGAACACUGACGGUAUUUUGUCAUAGAACUAAUAAAAAAAUGAAGGUUUCUAUUUGUUUUUUCGUCUGUCUAUUGUUAUUUUCCAUAGUAGUCAACAUGGCGG